RNAcentral lists this ribosomal RNA (404 nucleotides) under uncultured Anaerolineaceae bacterium. RNAcentral's name for it is "bacterial SSU rRNA". It matches the Rfam family "Bacterial small subunit ribosomal RNA", at positions 355 to 776 of the family's 1533-position model. Lineage: Bacteria; Bacillati; Chloroflexota; Anaerolineae; Anaerolineales; Anaerolineaceae. The record is from RNAcentral.
UAGGGAAUAUUGGUAAUGGGCGAAAGCCUGAACCAGCAACGCCGCGUGUGCGAUGAAGGCCUUCGGGUCGUAAAGCACUUUUUGGAGGGAUGAGGAAGGACAGUACCUCCAGAAUAAGCCUCGGCUAACUACGUGCCAGCAGCCGCGGUAACACGUAGGAGGCAAGCGUUAUUCGGAUUUACUGGGCGUAAAGCGCGUGCAGGCGGUUCGGAAAGUUGGAUGUGAAAGCUCCUGGCUUAACUGGGAGAGGUCGUUCAAUACUUCCGGACUUGAGAGUGGGAGAGGGAGGUGGAAUUCCGGGUGUAGUGGUGAAAUGCGUAGAUAUCCGGAGGAACACCAGUGGCGAAAGCGGCCUCCUGGCCCAUUUCUGACGCUCAGACGCGAAAGCUAGGGUAGCAAACGGG